Drosophila obscura is the source of this 503-nucleotide long non-coding RNA. RefSeq lists it as uncharacterized. The transcript is spliced from 2 exons. NCBI's taxonomy places the organism in Eukaryota, Metazoa, Arthropoda, Insecta, Diptera, Drosophilidae. The record is from RefSeq and is a predicted model, not a curated record.
ACGAUUUUAUCCAUCGAAUGGCCAUCGUUUAACCUCCAUUCUGCUAACCCUCCGCGCUCAACAAUUCAGUUAAUAACUAAUUGGAAAAUCUCAGUGGAUUGGUGGGGCCGAGGGUACGGGUACAGAGGGCAGUGUGGAAAAGCUGGAAAAGCGCUGCGUGCGUUGACGUUCGCUUCGCUCAAUUUGUUUGACGAUUUUAUGGACGUUUUUAGUUUCAUUUGCUGCCACCGCAGAAACAAAAAGCUAUGUGGAAGGGCGCACUGCUUUCAGGGCCGAACCUUUAGAUACCCUGGCAGAGGGUAAGCACACGGCCCCAAUAUCGCGCAGAACACAGACUUUAUUCUGUGAAAAUAAGCCAGAUGCUCGUAGAUAGCCGGCAGGACAGCCAGAUGGACAUGGCUCUGCUGUUGGCUCUGCUUUUAAUGGGGAAAUGAAUAUCAAAAGUAAUAAAACAGUGAUGGAAAUAUCCAAUGGAUGCGAAGAAUGUUUUGCAAAAUGCAAAA